Molecule: long non-coding RNA, 716 nt
Filed under: Heterocephalus glaber (naked mole-rat)
Lineage: Eukaryota; Metazoa; Chordata; Mammalia; Rodentia; Bathyergidae
Description: lncRNA (ENSHGLG00000035544.1)
Source: RNAcentral
GACCCAGGCGGACAAAGAGCCCGGCCGACUGCGGGGCGCGCUCCCUCGUGCGGACGACCACGCGGGAUCUGCACGGCAUAGCUUCCCGACGCGGUACCCGGACGCUGCCAUUCCCCACCGGGCCCUGGGGAGCCCAGAGCCGCCCCUGCGCCCUGGGCUGCUUCCGCUGGAUCCCCCCACUCGAGGAGGCCCAAGCAGACUCACAGUGGCUCCUGCCCUGACAGCCGCCUCCUCACCCUGCCUCAGUUUCCUGUCUGUCCCAAAAGCAGAUUCUAAUUUAAUUGGGCACAAAGCCCCCCCUUAAACUAGGCUCUCCACAUGAGGCCUGGUGGCACAUGCCUGUUAUCCCAGUCUCCAAGGAGACGAAGGCAGGAGGAUCACCUUGAGUUCAAGGCCACCCUGGACUUCGUGGUAAGACCAUGUCUCAAAACCUAAACAAGAAAUAAAUAAAAAAUAAGGCUAUCCUGGUAGUGGAUGUCACCCUGACGCCUGGCUGGGGUGCCGGGUGCCCAAGUAAUCAAAGCUGCCUAUUGGUCCCCAGGUGGCCAGCUUCCCCUGCAUUCUUGCCUGAGCUUCUCCUUCUUAUAUUUGGUUAUUUUUCUCUCCUUCCCAAACACAACAAUUCAAACUAUUCCCAGCCUGCAGACAAUAAACAAAGCUGGGAGGCAGCCGGGAGGGGUCAGGUUUGCUCCCACUUAUGGCCUGAUCAGAGGCCA